Molecule: ribosomal RNA, 439 nt
Filed under: uncultured archaeon
Lineage: Archaea
Description: bacterial SSU rRNA
Rfam family: Archaeal small subunit ribosomal RNA
Source: RNAcentral
GUGAGUCAUUGCAGUAAUGCAAGGCAGACGGCUCAGUAACACGUAGUCAACCUACCCUAUAGACGGGGAUAACCUCAGGAAACUGAGGAUAAACCCCGAUAGAUCAUUAUGCCUGGAACGGUUUAUGGUCCAAAUGAUUCGUCGCUAUAGGAUGGGACUGCGGCCUAUCAGCUUGUUGGUGAGGUAAUGGCCCACCAAGACUAUUACAGGUACGGGCUCUGAGAGGAGUAGCCCGGAGAUGGGUACUGAGACACGGACCCAGGCCCUAUGGGGCGCAGCAGGCGAGAAAACUUUGCAAUGUGCGAAAGCACGACAAGGUUAAUCCGAGUGAUUCCUGCUAAAGGAAUCUUUUGUUAGUCAUAAUACCACUAACGAAUAAGGGGUGGGCAAGUUCUGGUGUCAGCCGCCGCGGUAAAACCAGCACCUCAAGUGGUCAGGA